UUAUUACGCCAGUUUUGCAGAGGGGUAAACUGGGAUACAGCGGUUAAGUGACGUAGUAUGUGCUCUGCUUUAAUCCUGAGAACCACAAUCCUGCACACACUGACACAGACACCAUUCAUAUGGAGGUUUCUGGAGACCUUUCUGUUACUCAAUUGUCUUUGAAAAGUUAAAGGUGAGUGAUAAAUUGGAAUUAAUUUGCAUUGCAAUUCAGCAUUUGACAGA
This 222-nucleotide long non-coding RNA is filed under the name Chrysemys picta bellii (western painted turtle). RNAcentral's name for it is "lncRNA (ENSCPBG00000025648.1)". Lineage: Eukaryota; Metazoa; Chordata; Testudines; Emydidae. The record is from RNAcentral.